This 4302-nucleotide unclassified non-coding RNA is filed under the name Hevea brasiliensis (rubber tree). Lineage: Eukaryota; Viridiplantae; Streptophyta; Magnoliopsida; Malpighiales; Euphorbiaceae. The record is from RNAcentral.
CGGACGAAAAUGCGAAGUUAAGGGUAGCCUAGCCUUACUCACACAGGCACACAUGUAGACACCUGUUCUGUUGAGGAAGAUGUGGAAAAUUCCUCACCAUACACUCCUCCUAACACUUCGCUCUAUUCCUCCUCCUCGCUGCAACAUGCUCUCCUUUCCUCUCCUCCUUCUCUUUUGGAUCUCUCCCAUUGGACUCAUUCUUUCCUUUAUUUUCCAUGUUCUCUCUCUUUCAUUCUUUCUUUCCACCAACUUUUCAAGAUUCUUGACACUGAACGCUACAACAACGAUGAAGGAUAGAAUUGAAGAAGAUGAGGACCAAGACGCUUUGGCGGGGCUAAGCCCUGUCCCGCCAACCAACCAUAAGAUACAUUGCUACAGCCAACAUAUACGUAGCAACUCCGGCCAGAAAAAACACCACCAACUCAGAAAACACAGCCUUGAUAACAUCCCACACUCUGCUUCCGAACGCUACUUUAAUUCUUCCGAUGAUGACUUCGUCCCAUACCCAUCCCAUUCCCUCUCCUCCUCUGCAUAUAGAAAUGUGGGUGGGAGUGGUGGUGAUGAGAUACUCCGGCAGAGGCUUGAUAUGAGCUUCACCGUCGAGGGUCCCCUCGAUGAUAUUGGGAAAACCAUAUUGCCAGAAUUCAUUGCUAGUGGAGGGACGGGAAUCUUCAAGGCUCCAAUCCGGGCAGCGGUUCAUCCUGGACGCCCCCCUUGUCUAGAACUUAGACCACACCCUCUUAGAGAAACGCAGAUGGGUAAAUUCUUGAGAAACAUUGCUUGUACAGAGACACAGUUAUGGGUUGGGCAGGAGAGUGGAGUCAGGUUUUGGACCUUUGAGAAUGCGUAUGACCCAGGGUGCGGAUUACAGGGAAGAGUGAGAAGGGGCGAUGAGGAUGCAGCGCCGUUUCAUGAGUCCGCAAACACGUCGCCUACAAUGUGUUUGAUGGUUGACAGUGGGAAUAGGUUGGUUUGGAGUGGACACAAGGACGGAAAGAUCAGGUCUUGGAAAAUGGAUCAACCAUUAGAUGAUAUUGCCCCUUUCAAGGAAGGAUUAUCAUGGCAGGCUCAUAAAGGUCCUGUUCUUUCUAUAGUAAUGAGUUCUUAUGGUGAUCUUUGGUCUGGUGGGGAAGGAGGUUUUAUUAAAAUCUGGCCAUGGGAAUCCAUUGAAAAAUCUCUUUCUCUUUCACCUGAGGAAAAGCACAUGGCUGCUUUAUUGGUGGAGAGGUCACAUAUUGACCUUAGGAGUCAAGUCACUGUAAAUGGUAACUGUCGUAUAUCUUCUUCAGAUGUGAAGUGCUUGUUAUCUGAUAAAGUUAGAGCUAAGGUUUGGUGUGCUCAACCUCUGUCCUUCUCUAUAUGGGAUGCUAAUACAAAAGAGCUUGUGAAAGUAUUCAAUAUUGACGGUCAAAUUGAAAACCGAGUUGACCUACCAUCAGCACAACAACAAGAUCAGCCAGUUGAAGAUGAGAUGAAGGUAAAAUUUGUUUCCACAUCAAAAAAGGAGAAAUCACAGGGCUUUUUGCAACGUUCACGAAAUGCCAUAAUGGGAGCUGCAGAUGCUGUACGUCGAGUUGCCACUAGGGGAGCAACAGCAUUUGUAGAAGAAACCAAGAGAACAGAAGCACUGGUGUUAACUUUAGAUGGAAUGAUAUGGAGUGGAUGUUCUAAUGGCCUCCUUGUGCAGUGGGAUGGAAAUGGAAAUCGUUUGCAAGAUUUCACUCACCAUUCUUCCACUGUUCAAUGUUUCUGCACAUUUGGAACAAGAAUAUAUGUGGGAUAUGUGAGCGGCAUUGUCCAAGUAUUGGAUCUUGAGGGAAAUCUUAUUGCAGUAUGGGUUGCACAUAGUAAUCCUGUGAUAAAGUUGGCAGUUGGGAAUGGUUAUAUUUUUAGCUUGGCUACUCAUGGAGGCAUUCGUGGAUGGAACCUCACAUCUCCAGGACCUCUCGACAGCAUAAUACGAUCAGAAUUAGCACAACAAGAAAUGGUAUACACAAGACGAGACAGUUUCAGAAUUUUAGUUGGCACAUGGAAUGUCGGUCAAGGAAGAGCAUCUCAUGAUGCCCUUAUGUCAUGGUUAGGUUCUGCUGUGUCAGAUGUUGGCAUUGUUGUUAUUGGGUUGCAAGAGGUAGAAAUGGGUGCAGGUUUUCUUGCAAUGUCGGCUGCCAAAGAAACAGUAGGACUUGAAGGGAGCUCUAUCGGGCAGUGGUGGCUGGAUAAUAUAGGGAAGGCGUUAGAAGAGGGAACAACUUUUGAACGUAUGGGUUCUAGGCAGCUUGCAGGUUUACUAAUAUCUCUUUGGGUGAGGAAGAAUCUUAGAGCACAUGUUGGGGAUGUUGAUGCUGGAGCAGUUCCAUGUGGCUUUGGACGUGCAAUUGGUAAUAAGGGAGGUGUAGGUUUGAGGAUCAGGGUUCUCGAUAGGAUAAUGUGCUUUGUGAACUGUCACUUGGCUGCACAUUUGGAAGCAGUCAAUCGUCGAAAUGCUGAUUUUGAUCACAUUUAUAGAAAUAUGGCGUUCAGCCGGUCAUCAAACCUUACAUCAGCUGGUAUGGUGCGACUCCUGUUUUUGUGUUGCUCUCUUGCCUUCUCCACAUAUUUAUUCUGGCUACUUUAUAUUUCUGGCUUGCCAUUGGUACUAUCUAUUGCAGCUGGUGUCUCAACAGCCACUCAAACGCUUAAGGGUUCAAAUGUAUGUUUUUAUUCUCAUUAUUACCUAUAACAGUAAUCUAUGGCUUUUCAUAAUUACAAUUAUUAACUGACUCUUUAUAAUUAAAAUUAUUAUCUUUAGUGACUAUGAUCAAUAACUUGGUUUUCACAGGCAGUGAGUGCGAACUCUGAAGACACGAAGCCUGAUUUAUCUGAGGCAGAUAUGGUUGUGUUUCUUGGUGAUUUUAAUUACCGUCUUUUUGGUAUAUCUUAUGAUGAAGCAAGGGAUUUUGUUUCACAAAGAAGCUUUGAUUGGCUUAGAGAAAAGGAUCAGCUCAGAGCAGAAAUGAAAGCAGGAAAAGUUUUCCAAGGAAUGCGUGAGGCUCUCAUCAGAUUCCCUCCUACCUACAAGUUUGAAAGAAACCAACCAGGUUUAGGAGGUAAAAUUGUUUUAUGGUAUUGGUUUAGGCUUCUCUGAAAAAUCUCCUAAGCGAGUUCUUUCUGAUAUCUUUUUGGAGUCAGUUCUCUUUAUUUAUUUACUUAUUCUUAUAUAAUAUCAUUCAAGGAACUUCCAUCAUGCAUUCUUCACAGGAUAUGAUUCUGGGGAGAAAAAGCGCAUUCCUGCUUGGUGUGAUAGAAUAAUAUAUCGUGACAAUCGGGUGGCUUCAGUAUCUGAUUGCAGCUUAGAGUGUCCUAUAGUCUCAUCAGUUGUACAGUAUGUUCCUUAGUAAGAAUUCUGAUGCAUUUUUUUCAUCCUCUAUUAUAUUUCAAACAUUUGGUCUCUAUGUGUACUAGGUAUGAGGCUUGCAUGGAUGUCACAGAGAGUGAUCACAAACCUGUCCGUUGUAAAUUCAAUGUCCAAAUUGCCCAUGUUGACAGAUCAGUGCGGAGACAAGAGUUUGGGGAAAUUAUUAGAUCUAAUGAGAAAGUCAGGUCUUUGCUUGAAGAAUCACGUUAUGUUCCAGAAACCAUUAUAAGCGCCAACAACAUUGUCCUUCAGAAUCAGGACACAUGCAUUCUGCGUAUUACUAACAAGUGCAUGAAGGAAAAAGCUGUUUUCAACGUUAUUUGUGAAGGUCAAUCCACUGUCAAGGAUGAUGGAGAAGAGCCAGAUUACCGUCCAAGAGGUUCCUAUGGCUUUCCACGAUGGCUUGAGGUCACACCGUCUGCUGGUAUAAUUAAACCUGAUCAGCAUGCAGAGAUCUCAGUACAUCAUGAAGAGUUUCAUAUCCUAGAAGAUUUUGUUGAUGGUAUCCCACAAAACUGGUGGUCUGAAGACACACGUGAUAAGGAAGUGAUUUUAGUUGUGGUUGUCCAGGGAAGCAGUUCAACAGAAAUGAGAAGUCACAGAAUCCAUGUUCGUCACUGCUUCUCAGCUAAGGCAGUUCGCCUUGAGUCAAAAUCAAACAACUCCAGAAAAAACCAGGGAGGAGCACUUAACCGAUCGGAACUCAGGCAAUUAAGCGGUUCUUCUGAUAAAGGCGAUGAUCUUCGAAAUUCACGUAAAUCUUGAAGCUAAAAUUGAAGGCUGAUAGAUAUAGAUGCAUCUGGAUGUAAAUAUUCUUGAGGCAUGAUCUCCUUCUCACUCAUUUCUGGACAGGUCCAAUUUGUUUGUUCUCAUGUAUUUAUCUUUGUAGUUUCAGUGAAUUUAUGAUU